GUAACAAGGUUUCCGUAGGUGAACCUGCGGAAGGAUCAUUCACACGCAUCCAACUUGAAUUCAUUGUGAACCAUCUUCUGUGAGUUGUGCUCUUGGCUGGAGACAACUUGUCUACAACCUUGUGCAGAAUCUCGCGGGUAGUUCGGGUGAUAUUGGACCGUCUUCCUCUAUUGUCUGGCUACCAUUGUUGUCUGACCAAUGUCUUGCAUGAUGACCUAUCUUUUUAAGAUGUGGGUGACCACAUGUUUGAUUCACAUACAACUUUCAGCGACGGAUGUCUCGGCUCGAACAACGAUGAAGGGCGCAGCGAAGUGUGAUAAGCAUUGUGAAUUGCAGAAUUCCGUGAACCAAUAGGGAUUUGAACGUAUACUGCGCUUUCGGGAUAUCCCUGAAAGCAUGCCUGCUUCAGUGUCAAUAUUCUCUCAUGCCACUGUCAUCUUGUCAUGUGCUUUGCACAUGCAACUGACAGCAGUGUGUGUCUGUGCAUUAAGGUGCUCUUCCUGCCCCUGAUGCAUUGAAUCCAUGGGUUUUGUGCUCUGUCAGCAACUUGAUAAACACCUUGUGCUUUGUGUGUAACCUGUUGCUUUGUCUGUUGCACUGAUAACCUGUCCUCCUGUCUGCCACUUCAUUUGUGGCUUCCUUCCAUGACAUGAAGUUAGGUAAGCAAACCCGCUGAAUUUAAGCAUAUAAGUAAGCGGAGGAUAAGAAACUAAAUAGGAUUCCCUCAGUAAUGGCGAAUGAACAGGGAUAAGCUCAGCAUGGAAAUUGGGGCCCUCGGCCUUGAAUUGUAGUCUUGAGAUGUGUUACCAACGGAGGCGCAGAUGUAAGCCUCUUGGAAAAGAGCGUCAGGGAGGGUGAGAGUCCCGUAUGUCAUCUGCAGUUCUCUGUGCACGGUGCAUGUUCUAAGAGUCACGUUCCUCGGGAUUGGAGCGCAAAUUGGGUGGUAAAUUUCAUCUAAAGCUAAAUAUUGGUUCGAGACCGAUAGCAAACAAGUACCAUGAGGGAAAGGUGAAAAGGACUUUGAAAAGAGAGUUAAAAGUGCCUGAAAUUGCUGAAAGGGAAGCGAAUGGAACCAGUUGUUCUUGGUGAGUAUUGGUGUUGUCUAAAGUGAUGGCUUGCCACUUCAACGCAAGUGUGGUGGCAGGUUUUGAUCUGGAUGCGAUACUGCUUCUCGCCUUGCAUGUCAACGUCAGUUCAUAAUUGAGGAAAACUCUAAGGACAUGGUAAUUCGCUUCCGAGUGACUGAAUGUCCUCAGUUGAACUCAUUUUUGAACUGCUCUCUGUGUGUCUGGUAGCACUGCUUCAUGUGCUUGCCUGCGAUCUUCUGCUCUGCAUGAAGGUUGUUGGUGCCAGGAGCAUGUCCUUGACAUUAGAACGAUGACGAAAUGGUUUUAUUCGACCCGUCUUGAAACACGGACCAAGG
Molecule: ribosomal RNA, 1423 nt
Filed under: Karenia mikimotoi
Lineage: Eukaryota; Dinophyceae; Gymnodiniales; Kareniaceae
Description: eukaryotic LSU rRNA
Rfam family: Eukaryotic large subunit ribosomal RNA (bases 646-1423)
Source: RNAcentral